RNAcentral lists this ribosomal RNA (405 nucleotides) under Ectocarpus fasciculatus. RNAcentral's name for it is "eukaryotic LSU rRNA". It matches the Rfam family "Eukaryotic large subunit ribosomal RNA", at positions 1 to 407 of the family's 3401-position model. The record is from RNAcentral. Lineage: Eukaryota; Phaeophyceae; Ectocarpales; Ectocarpaceae.
CGGACCUCCGAUCAAGCAAGAGGACCCGCUGAAUUCAAGCAUAUAACUAAGCGGAGGAAAAGAAACUAACCAGGAUUCCCCCAGUAACGGCGAGUGAAGCGGGAAGAGCUCACGUUGUAAAUCUGACUUCGGUCCGAAUUGUAGUCUGGAGAGGCGUGACCAGCUGGAGACGGGGGCGAAGUCUCUUGGAAAAGAGCAUCAAGGAGGGUGACAAUCCCGUUCUUGCCCCCGCUUUCCAUGCGUACGGUCCGUUUUCUACGAGUCGAGUUGCUUGGGAUUGCAGCUCAAAGCGGGUGGUAAAUUCCAUCUAAAGCUAAACACGGGUGGGAGACCGAUAGCGAACAAGUACCGUGAGGGAAAGAUGCAAAGAACUUUGAAAAGAGAGUUAAAGAGUGCCUGAAAUUG